RNAcentral lists this ribosomal RNA (540 nucleotides) under uncultured bacterium. RNAcentral's name for it is "bacterial SSU rRNA". It matches the Rfam family "Bacterial small subunit ribosomal RNA", at positions 356 to 896 of the family's 1533-position model. The record is from RNAcentral.
GAGGAAUAUUGGUCAAUGGGCGAGAGCCUGAACCAGCCAAGUCGCGUGAAGGAUGACUGUCUUAUGGAUUGUAAACUUCUUUUAUACGGGAAUAACAAGAGUCACGUGUGGCUCCCUGCAUGUACCGUAUGAAUAAGCAUCGGCUAACUCCGUGCCAGCAGCCGCGGUAAUACGGAGGAUGCGAGCGUUAUCCGGAUUUAUUGGGUUUAAAGGGUGCGUAGGCGGCCUGUUAAGUCAGCGGUGAAACCUAGGAGCUUAACUCCUAAAUUGCCAUUGAUACUGGCGGGCUUGAGUGUAGAUGAGGUAGGCGGAAUGCGUGGUGUAGCGGUGGAAUGCAUAGAUAUCACGCAGAACUCCGAUUGCGAAGGCAGCUUACUAAGGUACAACUGACGCUGAAGCACGAAAGCGUGGGUAUCAAACAGGAUUAGAUACCCUGGUAGUCCACGCAGUAAACGAUGAUAACUGGGCGUAUGCGAUAUACAGUAUGCUCCUAAGCGAAAGCGUUAAGUUAUCCACCUGGGGAGUACGCCGGCAACGGUG